This 236-nucleotide ribosomal RNA is filed under the name uncultured bacterium. RNAcentral's name for it is "partial 16S ribosomal RNA". It matches the Rfam family "Bacterial small subunit ribosomal RNA", at positions 100 to 334 of the family's 1533-position model. The record is from RNAcentral.
CGGGACGGGUGAGUAACGCGUGGAUAACCUGCCUCACACAGGGGAGUAACAGUUAGAAAUGACUGCUAAUACCGCAUAAGCGCACGGUACCGCAUGGUACAGUGUGAAAAACUCCGGUGGUGUGAGAUGGAUCCGCGUCUGAUUAGGUAGUUGGUGAGGUAACGGCCCACCAAGCCGACGAUCAGUAGCCGACCUGAGAGGGUGACCGGCCACAUUGGGACUGAGACACGGCCCAA